Molecule: long non-coding RNA, 1316 nt
Organism: Alnus glutinosa
Lineage: Eukaryota; Viridiplantae; Streptophyta; Magnoliopsida; Fagales; Betulaceae
Exons: 2
Source: RefSeq, a predicted model, not a curated record
UAAAAUGCUUACCGACACUCUCUUCCACCGACAGUGUUUAUAUUUAUUUAUUCAUAAAUUGAUUAUUUUUAAUCAGCCGUCCACCUGCUAUAAUCCAUUGCCGACAUUCUUGCCGACACUUAUUCUUUUAAAACUGUCUGUUUCCCUUCAGAAAAUACUCGCACCUCCCAUGAACUAAGCUUCUUCCUUCUGAUCUUCUUAAUUUCCUCCCCCACUGUCUCUUAUUCUUUGCUGUCCCGAUGCAUAUGAGGAAUUGAGAUUGAGAGUAGGAGAGUGAGUUGAGAGAAAGAGAUGAGAUGAGAUGAGAUGAGAUGAGAUGAGAAAUAGAAGCAAGCAAGAGAUUAAGAGUAAGUAGAGAAUUGAGAGAGAAGCAGAAUUUGAGAGAGAAAGAAGGAGUGAAAUGAAGAGAGAAACAGAGGCAGAGAGGGAGAUCCGGCCGAUCCUUCAGUAGAGUCCCGGCCGAUUGUAGCAGACCGAGAGAGAGAAGAUGAGAGACCCGAAGCCGUGAACCCCAAGCAAACCCGAAGAUCCGGCGUGAGCCCAGCCAAAACCCACAACUCAGCACCGAUGGCUGGCGGACGGCGUCACCCAGCAGAGCCCAUCCCAUCCCGGCGUGACCCAGGACCCGAUCGUGGAGCCGUGAACCACGACCCGUCCAACCCAGCCGUGAAACCAUGAACCCAACGAACCCGUGCGUGAUCCAGCCAUGAUCCAUGACCCAGCCGUGAAGACCACCGACCCAGAAGCCCAUUCCAGCUGCGAUUCAGACCAGACCCGUGAACCUCGGCCCAACCCAGACGAUCCAGCUGAACCCGUGAACCCCGGCCCAACCCGUGACCCGUGAGCCCAGUCCAGCAAGCAGUAGCUGAGCCCAGUCCAGCCCAUCCCAGCAAGCAAGCCCAACCCAGUCGGCCCACGAACCAAUUUCAGCCCAGACCCGCUGAGCCUGACCCAGCAGUGAUCCAACCAUGACCUGAACCCGGAGACCCGACCCGCCGGUGACCCGUCUCCGGCAGAGUCUUCCGGCGACUUUUCCGGUAACCUUUCCGGCGACUUCCCGUGACCAAACUCACCGUUUUCACUAGAUUUUCUAGUAAAAUCCUUAAUGUUAAUAGACAAAGACCAGAACUCAAGAGGUUUUAUAGCUAAGGACGCAUAGUUUAUAUUUUGUUUGUAGUCUUCUGUGUUUAUAGCAUUUUAUAUUGACAAAAUUGCUAAUGAUUUAUAUGUAUUCUUUUGUGUCAUUAUGGACACCUGUUUCCUUGUAUUUGUUAUAAGAAUUUUCUAAUGAAUAUCUAGAGGUAUUUAAUUUAAAA